Molecule: long non-coding RNA, 223 nt
Organism: Rhagoletis pomonella (apple maggot)
Lineage: Eukaryota; Metazoa; Arthropoda; Insecta; Diptera; Tephritidae
Exons: 3
Source: RefSeq, a predicted model, not a curated record
UGCGGUGUUGAGUUUUCAUUUACAUGGCGCUUUGCUUAAGUAAGAGCAGCGUAGCUAUAAGAAUUCGCACUCUUAAUAAGAAGUAUAUGCGUUAGAGCGAGCAAGUGAAAAUCAGGCGAAAUUUGACAGCGAAUUUCAAAUUUGAAGAAAAACAUCAAUUUCGCGCAAAAUUUAGGAGAUAGCCAAACAUCAGCAGGAGACUUAAGCCAUCAGAACCUUGAAG